CCGCCAGAGCAUUACGAGCAACAGCUUAAAACUCAAAGGACUUGGCGGUGCCCACAUCCCUCCAGAGGAGCCUGUUCUAUAAUCGAUAACCCACGCUGAACCUCACCACCAUUUGACAACCCAGCCUAUAUACCACCGUCACCAGCCUGCCUUAUGAAAGAACUAAAGCAAGCAAAAACGAAGAUACCAAACACGCCAGGUCAAGGUGUAGCAUAUAUGGUGGGAAGAAAUGGGCUACAUUUUCUUUCAAAGAAUAUACGAAUGAUAAACUGAAACCACAUCUGAAGGCGGAUUUGAUAGUAAAAAUGGAUAAUAAUGCCAUUUCUAAACCAGGCCCUGGGGCGCGC
This 347-nucleotide ribosomal RNA is filed under the name Praslinia cooperi. Its description in RNAcentral is "partial 12S ribosomal RNA". It matches the Rfam family "Bacterial small subunit ribosomal RNA", at positions 869 to 1384 of the family's 1533-position model. Lineage: Eukaryota; Metazoa; Chordata; Amphibia; Gymnophiona; Indotyphlidae. The record is from RNAcentral.